CUCCUCCAUCCUCCUAGGUCCUCUGCUGACUCAUCACUCCACCUUCCCAGCAUCCACAGUGAGGGCAGCCUGAGCUCUAAGAUCUCUCAGCUCAGCUGCAGUAAAGGCCUGAGCAGAACUACAGGAGCACCCGACAAUGUAAUUGAAGCCAGAGGAGAGACCAGAGGAGCUGGCACCGGCCUGGUGUCUGCUGGCUGAGGACACAGAAGUAACAUCAGGCUUCGCGGCCCAGGGAUCAGGGACAGAACAGGAUCCAGAACUAGGAGAAAGCUGCCUGAGGCCCAUCCCGGCAGAAUAUCAGAUCAACCUGGAGAGUGCUGCUCUGCUAGACUGGUUGGUCAAUGAGACCCAGGGACCUACCUGUCUCCUAACACACCCAGCACUGAGGUUACAGAAGUGGCUAUUUGGGAUUCAAACUAAGAUCUGCAUGCACAGAAAGCACUCUGCCCACUGGGCCAUCUCAGCAUAAUCUAAAACUUGUUUUUUUAAUCUUUUUUCUCUAUUUGACUUGGAACAACUGUACUCACUUAUAACCCUACAUCCUUUCUUUCUGAUGACCGUUGAGGGACACACAAGCUUUGGUUAGCAAGUCCACUCGAAACUCUAUCAUUGGAGAAUCAGUACAACCCUGGUAAGCAUUAUGGGUGGUUCCAAACCGUAGAACUGAGGGAAUACUGCCAUGCAAGAGCACCAUUAUCUACUGCCCUCAGAACUCUGACCUGCUGUGGUCCUGCAUACCUGUUACGCACGCCAGCACUCGAAAGGCUGAAGCAGAGGCAUUGCACAUUUAAGGUCUGCCUGAGCUGACCUACAUACAUGGCAAGACUCUCUCAAAAGAACAAAACCUGGGCUGGGAAACAGCUCAGUCAGUAAAGUGUUUGCUGUAGAAGAAAGAAGCCCCGAACUGAACGCCCAGACCAUGGACCACGCCGUGUGUGACAAUGUGCACUCUGUAAUCACAGUGCCGAGGAGGAAGCAUCCCUGACCUGAGGCCCAAUGGUUGGCUAACCUGGAUGAAUCUGGCAAGCCUCAGGUCCCAGUAAAAGAUCCUUUCUCAAAAUAACAGUGUGAACAGCUCCUGAAGAACAAUACCCAGGUCCUCUGUCCGUCAUACACAACAGUCUGCGCACAUCACAUGCAUGCCUCUGUCGCUCACACUUAAAUAAGAAGUUCUUCUGGGGCAGGUGGGAUGGCUCAGCGGGUAAAGGUGCCUGCUGCUAAGCUUGGCGGAUGCCCUGAGUUCCACCUCUAGGACACACAUGGUGGAAAGAAACCCAAGUUGUCCUCUGACCUCCACAUGUGACCCUUACACAGGCAUGUGCAAUUAACCAAAUGCAAUUUUAAAAUUCUUUUAAGAAGCUGCUCUGGAUGAAGCUCAGGUUUCCCCAGCCACAGGAAAUGUACUCUGCCAUCUUGUGCUUUCACCUUUGGUGGGAACCAUGGAGGAUGCUAGCAGGUUCCCAGCUCAUGAUCAGACACCUCCUUCCUUGGAAACACUGGUCCCAGUGCCGGCUGCUCCAGGCACAUUAACCCCUCGAGUGUCCUUUGCACACCUCAGGGAGGCCAGUCAUGGUUCACACUGAUCACAUCGUGAGUUGGAAGAACUGCAGCCCCAACCCUCCUCGGCUUGACUAAAACCUGAUGCUUCUCCCCACCGUUGGGCUCCGUACAGCCUGCCAAGGAGCUGCAGAGCUGAAAGCUGAGCGUCAACACCCCAGACCUACACGCUACACAGUUUCAUUCAUAUGAACUAUCCAAAAAGGGUAGACCCACAGACAGAAAGCAGACUCAUGUGGUAUGCACAUUGUGAGAAGAAGGGAGAAAAUAAUCAAUUGCUAAUAGGCAAAAGCAAGGGGGGGGGGCAUUUCUACAAUUAGAUUGUGAUAAAGGACACGCAAUUAUGUAAAAUACUAGGAUCCAUUGAAUUGUGUAACCAAACAGGUGAAUUUUACAGUACAUAAAUUCAAUGAUCUUUUUUUU
Molecule: non-coding RNA, 1980 nt
Organism: Peromyscus maniculatus bairdii (prairie deer mouse)
Lineage: Eukaryota; Metazoa; Chordata; Mammalia; Rodentia; Cricetidae
Source: RefSeq, a predicted model, not a curated record